This is a small nucleolar RNA of Hemicordylus capensis (graceful crag lizard), 135 nucleotides long. RefSeq annotates it as small nucleolar RNA SNORA29. The transcript has a single exon. The record is from RefSeq and is a predicted model, not a curated record. Lineage: Eukaryota; Metazoa; Chordata; Lepidosauria; Squamata; Cordylidae.
CUUCCCAUUUGACUACUACUUAUUUGUACCACAAAAUAAGCGGCUAUGCUUAUGGGAUAAAAAAAAGCCUGCCAUAGUCUGAAGGAAAAGAUUGACAAUAUCUUCUUCCUAUAUGAAAUGGCAGAACAUAUUAUA